GGCAGAGGUGCCGAGCGUUAGGCGGAAUCACUGGGCUUAAAGCGUGUGUAGGCGGAGUUCUAAGUACCUUGUGAAAUCCCACGGCUUAACCGUGGAACUGCUUGGUAUACUGGUUCUCUUGGGCCAUCUAGGGGCUAGCGGAACAAACGGUGGAGCGGUGAAAUGCGUAGAUAUCGUUUGGAACGCCAAUGGUGAAAACAGCUAGCUGGGGAUGUGCCGACGCUGAGACACGAAAGCCAGGGGAGCGAACGGG
Molecule: ribosomal RNA, 253 nt
Filed under: uncultured bacterium
Lineage: Bacteria
Description: partial 16S ribosomal RNA
Rfam family: Bacterial small subunit ribosomal RNA
Source: RNAcentral